RNAcentral lists this long non-coding RNA (1075 nucleotides) under Vigna radiata. Its description in RNAcentral is "long non-coding RNA (VRAD_LNC003300)". Lineage: Eukaryota; Viridiplantae; Streptophyta; Magnoliopsida; Fabales; Fabaceae. The record is from RNAcentral.
UGAUACCAUAUCAGGUCGUGUUCAAAAUAAAAAAUAAAAAAUACAUAAAAGAAAAAGAUAAAUAACGCUUGUGAAAAAAACUCUUAAGUGAAUUACUUUUAAAAAGUUGACUGCAACGCAUAGUACUGCCCAAUCUCACGGGUGACACUGAGAACAACUACCAUGCGCUAGAAUGUCAUCACCAAAUUAACAUAUGAGAAGAAGAAAGGAUAUUAAUAUAAUGGGAUAAAUAUGUUAGUUUUUUUUUUUUUUUCGCGGUUUUGAUUUUAGUCCUUUUUGAAAGCAACAUACAUUUUAGUAUUUUUUUUUUUUAAAAUUUUGAUUUUAGUCUUUUAAAGUUAACACUGUCAAAAAUCAGUUGUUAAAGCUAGACUCACAAGGUUUUUUCAGUCAGUGUUUUUCAGCUUUUCUCCCUCUUGCCCUCAUCUCUUCCUUUCAUUUUCUACCUAACGCCAACCACUACGAUCCACACCAGCACUUUCAUUGGUGCCACUCAGAUUUCUAACAACAACCAUCAGGGAACUUCAAAUUCCAAAUCGUGCAAUCAACACCAACUCCAAAUCGAAAACUUCACAAUCUCUAAUCGCAAAAUCAAAACAAAAUCAAAACCCCAAUUCCAAUCAAUGAAAAAAAUCUAAUUACAUUAGAAAUCCCAAAUUUCUCAAUUUCAGCAAACCAUAAACUUCUUAAUCGAAACUCUGAUCCCAAUUAGAGAAAACCAAACUUGCAGAGAAGAUAAAGACCAACACCAACACGAAACAACAACCCAAAACUUUGGUGAGCACUCAAAACCCUAAAACGCAAAAUCGGAAGAGGAGGAGAAGAAGAAUAAAACCUCUGUCUUUGGCCGCGAAAAGCUGCCACCGCAACACACACCGCCACAAAGGAAAACACCGUGACCUCAAUGCGCCUCUACCGCGCAGUCAUCACCCCCCGCCGACAUCGCCAUGCCAGCGAUGAUUCCAUCCAGGUUGGUUGCCUGCAAAAAAGAAAGGAGGAAGAGACGAGGGAAAGAGGGAGAAAAAGCUGAGAAACACUAACUAAAAAAAAUGUGUCAGUUUACUAUUAGCCAUUU